RNAcentral lists this ribosomal RNA (497 nucleotides) under uncultured bacterium. RNAcentral's name for it is "partial 16S ribosomal RNA". It matches the Rfam family "Bacterial small subunit ribosomal RNA", at positions 28 to 507 of the family's 1533-position model. The record is from RNAcentral.
GAUGAACGCUGGCGGCGUGCCUAAUACAUGCAAGUCGAGCGAACAGAUGAGGAGCUUGCUCCUCUGACGUUAGCGGCGGACGGGUGAGUAACACGUGGAUAACCUACCUAUAAGACUGGGAUAACUUCGGGAAACCGGAGCUAAUACCGGAUAAUAUAUUGAACCGCAUGGUUCAAUAGUUAAAGACGGUUUUUCUUUCACUUAUAGAUGGAUCCGCGCCGCAUUAGCUAGUUGGUAAGGUAACGGCUUACCAAGGCGACGAUGCGUAGCCGACCUGAGAGGGUGAUCGGCCACACUGGAACUGAGACACGGUCCAGACUCCUAUGGGAGGCAGCAGUAGGGAAUCUUCCGCAAUGGGCGAAAGCCUGACGGAGCAACGCCGCGUGAGUGAUGAAGGUCUUCGGAUCGUAAAACUCUGUUAUUAGGGAAGAACAAAUGUGUAAGUAACUAUGCACGUCUUGACGGUACCUAAUCAGAAAGCCACGGCUAACUACGUG